CCGACUGCUAUUUGGGUGAGACUAAGCCAUGCAAGUCGAAUGGGAUACCUAAACUUCCCAUGGCAAACUGCUCAGUAACACAUGAUUAACUUGCCCUAUGGAGAGAAAUAACCUCGGGAAACUGAGGAUAAUGUCUCAUAGUUGAAAAGGCUUGGAAAAGUUUUUCAAUGAAGUGAGUAGAGAAAAUGGUUUCUACAUGCCAUAGGAUAGGAUCGUGGUCGAUUAUGGUAGUUGGUGAGGUAACGGCUCACCAAGCCGAUAAUCGAUAGGGGCCGUGAGAGCGGGAGCCCCGAGAUGGGUACUGAGACAACGACCCAGGCCUUACGAGGCGCAGCAGGCGCGAAACCUCCGCAAUACACGAAAGUGUGACGGGGUUACCCAAAGUGCUCUAUUAAGAGCUGUGGUAGGUGAGUAAUGUCCCCUACUAGAAAGGAGAGGGCAAGGCUGGUGCCAGCCGCCGCGGUAAAACCAGCUCUUCAAGUGGUCGGGAUAAUUAUUGGGCUUAAAGUGUCCGUAGCCGGUUUAGUAAGUUCCUGGUAAAAUCGGGUAGCUUAACUAUCCGUGUGCUAGGAAUACUGCUAUACUAGAGGGCGGGAGAAGUCUGAGGUACUACAGGGGUAGGGGUGAAAUCUUAUAAUCCUUGUAGGACCACCAGUGGCGAAGGCGUCAGACUAGAACGCGCCUGACGGUGAGGGACGAAAGCUAGGGGAGCAAACCGGAUUAGAUACCCGGGUAGUCCUAGCCGUAAACGAUGCAUACUAGGUGAUGGCAUGGCCAUGAGCCAUGUCAGUGCCGUAGGGAAAGCGUUAAGUGUGCCGCCUGGGAAGUACGGUCGCAAGGCUAAAACUUAA
This 851-nucleotide ribosomal RNA is filed under the name uncultured archaeon. Its description in RNAcentral is "bacterial SSU rRNA". It matches the Rfam family "Archaeal small subunit ribosomal RNA", at positions 23 to 859 of the family's 1478-position model. The record is from RNAcentral.